AACACAACCACAGUUAGAAACACAACCCAAAGCAAACAUAUUCAUUUUGUCAACGAGAUCAGGUAGUCUAGGAUUAAAUCUACAAUCUGCUGACACAGUCAUAAUUUUCGAUAGUGAUUUUAAUCCACAUCAAGAUAUACAAGCUAUGUGUAGAUGCCAUAGAUUAGGUCAAAAUAACGUAGUAAAAGUUUUUCGGUUUAUAACCUUAUCGGGUGUUGAAAAUUUUAUUUUUAAGAGAGCACAAGAAAAAUUAAGUAUGAACGAUAAAGUAAUUCAAGCAGGAUUAUUCAACAAAAUGCAUAACGAUGAAGAUAGACAAAACAAAUUAAAAUAUAUUUUACAAAAAAAACAAAAUAUGGAUAAUUAUGUAACUACUGAACCAACAAAUCCAAUAUCUGUAAAUCAUUUUAUGAGUAGAAGUGAUAAAGAAUUAGAGUAUUUUAUGAAUUAUGAUAAAAAAUAUUUUGGAGAAACAUAUUUUACAAUCUUAAACAAUAUGUAUAUAGCUAAUCCGAAAUGUGAACAAUUUACUUAUAUGAGUGAAGAUGAGGAGGAUAGUGUAAGUGAUGAUGGGAAAGUAGAAAAAGGUGAGAAUAUAUAUAACAAAAAAAAAAGUGAGCAAAAUAAACAUAUAAAUAGUGAAAAUAUAAACAAUAACAAUAUUAAUACAACCAUCAACCGAAACAAACGAAAAUAUAAUAAUUUGGUACAAACAACGGAACAAAACAAUGAUGGUGGUGUUGGUGAUGGUGUUGGUGUUGGUGUUGGUGGUGGUGUUGGUGGUGGUGUUGGUGAUGGUGUUGGUGGUGGUGAUGGUGGUGGUGUUGGUGGUGGUGAUGAUGACCUAGGUAAUGAUAAAAAAAAAAAAAAAAAAAAAAAAAAAAAAUAAACACACACUGCUUAUAGAUGUAUACGCAAACAAACUCAGCUUAUGUGUUACAAAUUUCUUCUUUUUAUAACGAUGUCUAUUUGGAAAGGAUGAUGAACUAAUUCGUUAAUUAUUUCGUUUUCAGAGUCCUAAAAAAAAUAACAAAAAAAGAAAGUAUAUAUAUAGUACCCAUGAUAUAUAUGUGCGCAUAAAAAAAUAUAUAAUCAAUUUGUCAUUUUUUUUUUUGUCAUU
Molecule: long non-coding RNA, 1120 nt
Filed under: Piliocolobus tephrosceles (Ugandan red Colobus)
Lineage: Eukaryota; Metazoa; Chordata; Mammalia; Primates; Cercopithecidae
Description: lncRNA (ENSPTEG00000008784.1)
Source: RNAcentral